This is a long non-coding RNA of Solea solea (common sole), 525 nucleotides long. RefSeq lists it as uncharacterized. NCBI's taxonomy places the organism in Eukaryota, Metazoa, Chordata, Actinopteri, Pleuronectiformes, Soleidae. The transcript has 3 exons. The record is from RefSeq and is a predicted model, not a curated record.
CACCUGUGAUCAUUAAGCAUGAUUCUAGUUGAGCUCUUACUGGAGAAACACCGUUACAUCACAUCGUGAACAUUUCCACGCUCUUUCUCGUUGCAGCUCUAGUCAAGAGUGACCUGCCGCACUGCACUGACCCAGUGAAGUGGUCGAGGAAGUAUGGUCUGUCCCUGGACUCAUCUGAGAUGGAAGAUCUGAGCGGUGUCUUUAGGAUGAUGGACAGCAAUGGCAACUGCUUUCUGGACUUCGAUGAGCUCUGGAAGGGUUUUAGCGACUCGGGCGUCUCAAUGGACCAGCAGGACACUGUCACUGUGUUUAAAUACUUUGGCCGCGAUGGAAGCCGAGGCGUUGACAUUGGUGAAUACCUCGUCGCUGUCGGGGUACAUAUUUGAAUGAUAAGUCACUGCACACAAGUCGCAUGUGCCAAUUACAUCAUGUACUUCAAGUGUACUUCAACCUAAUGAUGAGUUGUGAUGUGAUCACUGCUUCAAUAAAGAGUUCAAACAGAUUUUUGAUAUUAACAACUUUUAA